Molecule: long non-coding RNA, 1446 nt
Filed under: Nothobranchius furzeri (turquoise killifish)
Lineage: Eukaryota; Metazoa; Chordata; Actinopteri; Cyprinodontiformes; Nothobranchiidae
Description: lncRNA (ENSNFUG00015015013.1)
Source: RNAcentral
AUGCCCCUUCCAGUCCAGAGGUCGAUGCUCUUUCCAGUCCAGAGGUCGACGUGCUUUCCAGUCCAGAGGUCGACGCUCUUUCCAGUCCAGAGGUCGACGCUCCUUCGUGUCCAGAGGUCGACGCUCCUUCGUGUCCAGAGGUCGACACUCCCUCGUGUCCAGAGGUCGACGCUCCCUCGUGUCCAGAGGUCGACGCUCCCUCAUGUCAAGAGGUCGACAUCCCCUCCAGUCCAGAGGUCGACGGUCCCUCCAGUCCAGAGGUCGACGUCCCCUCCAGUCCAGAGGUCGACGUCCCCUCCAGUCCAGAGGUCGACGUCCCCUCCAGUCCAGAGGUCGACGUCCCCUCCAGUCCAGAGGUCGGCGUCACCUCCAGUCCAGAGGUCGACGUCCCCUCCAGUCCAAUGGUCAACACCGUCCCCUCCAGUCCAAUGGUCGACGCCAUCCCCUCCAGUCCAACGUCGAUGCCGUCUCCAGUCCCGUGGUCGACGCCGUCUCCAGUCCCAUGGUCGACGCCGUCUCCAGCCCAGUGGUCGACGCCAUCCCCUCCAGUCCAACGUCGAUGCCGUCUCCAGUCCCGUGGUCGACGCCGUCUCCAGUCCCGUGGUCGACGCCGUCUCCAGUCCCGUGGUCGACGCCGUCUCCAGCCCAGUGGUUGACGCCGUCUCCAGCCCAGUGGUCGACGCCGUCUCCAGUCCAGUGGUCCACGCCGUCUCCAGUCCCGUGGCUGACGCCGUCUCCAGUCCUGUGGUCGACAAUGCCAUCUCCAGCCCAGUGGUCGACGCCGUCUCCAGUCCAGUGGUCCACGCCGUCUCCAGUCCCGUGGCUGACGCCGUCUCCAGUCCUGUGGUCGACGACGCCGUCUCCAGCCCAGUGGUCGACGACGCCAUCUCCAGCCCAGUGGUCGACGCCGCCGCCUCCGGCCCAGAGGCCGACCCCGCCGCCUCCAGCCCAGAGGUCGCCGCCGCCGCCUCCAGCCCAGAGGUCGUCGACGCCGCCUCCAGUCCAGAAGUCAAGGACGUCUCCUCCGGCAUCUAUGCCUCCGGUCACUGCCAGUCCUGCCCUCAUCAGACGCAGGCCCACAAGAGCCCGUCGGCGCCUCCUCCUCUGCCACAGAUGCAGGCCCCCCAGAGCCCGCCGUCGCCUCCUCCUCUGCCACAGAUGCAGGACCCCAAGAGCCCGUUGUCACCUCCUCCUCUGCCACAGACACAGGCCCCCCAGAGCCCAUCAUCGCCUCCUCCUCUGCCCCAGACGCAGGCCCCCGGACUCUACCUGUCCCUGCCUCCUCUCCAUCAGUCCCUCAGUCCCUCUUGGCCCUCCCUCUGGGUCCCCUUUCUCCCGCCCUGCUUUGUGUUUCUGUGGGCGUCUGGAAUCCGCCCUUUGAGGGGAGGGGGUACUGUCACACCCUGUCCUAUCUCCCCAUUCUGUUCAGCCUUGUGUCUCUGUUAA